AGCCGCCAUGCCUAGUUAGCUCUUUUCCACCUAAUUUUUGGACCACCUUGGACGAUUUGACUUGGAGCGUGGAUUUCUUCAGUAGGGGCUCAAGCAUUGCAACCUCGACCUAGGUUAGGACCUCGUUGCUUGGAAAGCACACUCGUCUUGCGGUUAGGACUCGUCGAGUAAAUCUCCA
Cucumis melo (muskmelon) is the source of this 178-nucleotide long non-coding RNA. RefSeq lists it as uncharacterized. The transcript is spliced from 3 exons. The record is from RefSeq and is a predicted model, not a curated record. Lineage: Eukaryota; Viridiplantae; Streptophyta; Magnoliopsida; Cucurbitales; Cucurbitaceae.